This 224-nucleotide long non-coding RNA is filed under the name Actinidia chinensis (golden kiwifruit). Its description in RNAcentral is "long non-coding RNA (ACHI_LNC008795)". Lineage: Eukaryota; Viridiplantae; Streptophyta; Magnoliopsida; Ericales; Actinidiaceae. The record is from RNAcentral.
GCAACUCUUCUUGUGUCUCGACCUCUUCAACCAACUCAGAGUUCACCGAGUCUUCAACUAUUCCUUCGAACACUUUCAAAGGACUUAUUCUUCGAGAUUGAAUUGUAAAGAAAACUCUCAAGAGCACAUUAAUACCUCCAGAUCAAUGAAUCAUGCAAAAAGUUCUUGAGUUCAGAAACGCUAGUUUCAUGUUCUUUAUCAAAAUCCUGAAAAGAGAAGCCUUU